Molecule: ribosomal RNA, 253 nt
Filed under: uncultured bacterium
Lineage: Bacteria
Description: partial 16S ribosomal RNA
Rfam family: Bacterial small subunit ribosomal RNA
Source: RNAcentral
UACGGAGGGUGCAAGCGUUAUCCGGAUUUACUGGGUGUAAAGGGUGCGUAGGUGGGUAGGUAAGUCAGUGGUGAAAUCUCCGGGCUUAACCCGGAAACUGCCAUUGAUACUAUUUAUCUUGAAUACUUUGGAGGUAAGCGGAAUAUGUCAUGUAGCGGUGAAAUGCUUAGAUAUGACAUAGAACACCAAUUGCGAAGGCAGCUUACUACACAGUAAUUGACACUGAGGCACGAAAGCGUGGGGAUCAAACAGG